Molecule: ribosomal RNA, 425 nt
Filed under: uncultured bacterium
Lineage: Bacteria
Description: bacterial SSU rRNA
Rfam family: Bacterial small subunit ribosomal RNA
Source: RNAcentral
UGGGGAAUAUUGGACAAUGGGCGAAAGCCUGAUCCAGCCAUGCCGCGUGAGUGACGAAGGCCUUAGGGUUGUAAAACUCUUUCGUCGGGGACGAUAAUGACGGUACCCGAAGAAGAAGCUCCGGCUAACUUCGUGCCAGCAGCCGCGGUAAUACGAAGGGAGCUAGCGUUGUUCGGAAUCACUGGGCGUAAAGCGCACGUAGGCGGAUAGUUAAGUCAGGGGUGAAAUCCUGGGGCUCAACCCCAGAACUGCCUUUGAUACUGGCUGUCUCGAGGUCGAGAGAGGUUGGUGGAAUUCCUAGUGUAGAGGUGAAAUUCGUAGAUAUUAGGAAGAACACCAGUGGCGAAGGCGGCCAACUGGCUCGAUACUGACGCUGAGGUGCGAAAGCGUGGGGAGCAAACAGGAUUAGAUACCCUAGUAGUCCC